Molecule: long non-coding RNA, 241 nt
Filed under: Gossypium raimondii (Peruvian cotton)
Lineage: Eukaryota; Viridiplantae; Streptophyta; Magnoliopsida; Malvales; Malvaceae
Description: long non-coding RNA (GRAI_LNC004408)
Source: RNAcentral
CCAUUUUUAACUAAACCGAAAUUAAGCAUAAGAAAUAGACCAUUAAAACAUAUUCUUCAAUACCAAAUUCAAAAACGAAAAGAGACAAGCCAUUUUCGCAUGGCUCAUAUUUACAUAUCAAAAAAUAAUUUAAACAUAUUAACUAGACUAUACAUGCCAUAGGUUCGAGUUCAAAAUAUACAAAAUACCAAGAAAGGUCGAUAGUGUGAUAGACUAAGCUGACGAUCCCCGAACUCGUAAC